GAUGAACGCUGGCGGCGUGCUUAACACAUGCAAGUCGAACGGAAAGGCUCCUGCUUGCAGGGGUACUCGAGUGGCGAACGGGUGAGUAACACGUGGGUGAUCUGCCCAGCACUUCGGGAUAAGCCUGGGAAACUGGGUCUAAUACCGGAUAGGACGAUGGUUUGGAUGCCAUUGUGGAAAGUUUUUUCGGUGUGGGAUGAGCUCGCGGCCUAUCAGCUUGUUGGUGGGGUAAUGGCCUACCAAGGCGUCGACGGGUAGCCGGCCUGAGAGGGUGUACGGCCACAUUGGGACUGAGAUACGGCCCAGACUCCUACGGGAGGCGGCAGUGGGGAAUAUUGCACAAUGGGCGCAAGCCUGAUGCAGCGACGCCGCGUGGGGGAUGACGGCCUUCGGGUUGUAAACUCCUUUCGCUAGGGACGAAGCGCAAGUGACGGUACCUGGAGAAGAAGCACCGGCUAACUACGUG
This 466-nucleotide ribosomal RNA is filed under the name uncultured bacterium. RNAcentral describes it as "partial 16S ribosomal RNA". It matches the Rfam family "Bacterial small subunit ribosomal RNA", at positions 28 to 507 of the family's 1533-position model. The record is from RNAcentral.